This 730-nucleotide ribosomal RNA is filed under the name Bacillus mycoides. RNAcentral describes it as "bacterial SSU rRNA". It matches the Rfam family "Bacterial small subunit ribosomal RNA", at positions 65 to 775 of the family's 1533-position model. The record is from RNAcentral. Lineage: Bacteria; Bacillati; Bacillota; Bacilli; Caryophanales; Bacillaceae.
AGCGAAUGGAUUAAGAGCUUGCUCUUAUGAAGUUAGCGGCGGACGGGUGAGUAACACGUGGGUAACCUGCCCAUAAGACUGGGAUAACUCCGGGAAACCGGGGCUAAUACCGGAUAACAUUUUGCACCGCAUGGUGCGAAAUUCAAAGGCGGCUUCGGCUGUCACUUAUGGAUGGACCCGCGUCGCAUUAGCUAGUUGGUGAGGUAACGGCUCACCAAGGCAACGAUGCGUAGCCGACCUGAGAGGGUGAUCGGCCACACUGGGACUGAGACACGGCCCAGACUCCUACGGGAGGCAGCAGUAGGGAAUCUUCCGCAAUGGACGAAAGUCUGACGGAGCAACGCCGCGUGAGUGAUGAAGGCUUUCGGGUCGUAAAACUCUGUUGUUAGGGAAGAACAAGUGCUAGUUGAAUAAGCUGGCACCUUGACGGUACCUAACCAGAAAGCCACGGCUAACUACGUGCCAGCAGCCGCGGUAAUACGUAGGUGGCAAGCGUUAUCCGGAAUUAUUGGGCGUAAAGCGCGCGCAGGUGGUUUCUUAAGUCUGAUGUGAAAGCCCACGGCUCAACCGUGGAGGGUCAUUGGAAACUGGGAGACUUGAGUGCAGAAGAGGAAAGUGGAAUUCCAUGUGUAGCGGUGAAAUGCGUAGAGAUAUGGAGGAACACCAGUGGCGAAGGCGACUUUCUGGUCUGUAACUGACACUGAGGCGCGAAAGCGUGGGGAGCAAACAG